AUAGGAAAUGAGGGCUUAGAGAAUAACGUAUCUGGGGUCCCCUUUUUAUAGGUGGAGUGUGCAAUAGAUGAUAGCGACGUUUGUAACCGUCUGGCAGUGGGCCGUUCGGAGUCAGGAGGAGUUUGUUAUGAAACGUAAUGGAGUAGAAUCAUGGCCAUCAUUGCGAUCUGCCAUGUGGAGUCUGUUGCAGGGAGUGAAGCGACGUCUGUUGUCGCAACUUACCAGAGGCUGGAGGAGCUACGUGGUAUCCAUCGCAGGAAGUGGAGCAGAGUCGUGGCCGUUACUGUGGCCUGUCAGGGAGUAAUGG
This 307-nucleotide long non-coding RNA is filed under the name Elaeis guineensis (African oil palm). RNAcentral describes it as "long non-coding RNA (EGUI_LNC057808)". Lineage: Eukaryota; Viridiplantae; Streptophyta; Magnoliopsida; Arecales; Arecaceae. The record is from RNAcentral.